Molecule: ribosomal RNA, 242 nt
Filed under: uncultured bacterium
Lineage: Bacteria
Description: partial 16S ribosomal RNA
Rfam family: Bacterial small subunit ribosomal RNA
Source: RNAcentral
CUGUACCUACGGGGGGCAGCAGUAGGGAAUCUUCCACAAUGGACGAAAGUCUGAUGGAGCAACGCCGCGUGAGUGAAGAAGGGCUUCGGCUCGUUAAGCUCUGUUGGUAGAGAAGAAAGAUAGAGGUAGUAACUGGCCUUUUUUUGACGGUAAUUACUUAGAAAGUCACGGCUAACUACGUGCCAGCAGCCGCGGUAAUACGUAGGGGGCAAGCGUUGUCCGGAUUUAUUGGGCGUAAAGCG